CAUUACUGGAAGUUUGAGGAAUCGAUGUUCCUGCCAUUAGGUUAGAGGCUACCCAGAUGGAAUAUAAGGUGUUGCUCCUUCAAUGCAAGUGUGGCCUCAUCACAACAGUAGAGGAGGCCACAGAUAGACGUAUUGGAAUGGGAAUUGGAAGUGGAACUAAAAUGGGUGGCUUACUGGGAGAUCACAUUUUUUUUCUGGCUGACAGAGCAUAGGUACUUGGCAAAGCGGUUUCCCAAACUAUGUCAGGUAUCACCGAUAGACAGGAGCCACACCAGGAGCACUGAACACAAUCGAUGACCCCAACAGACUCACAGGUGAAGUGUUGCCUCACCUGGAAGGCCUGUUUAGGGCCCUGAAUGCUACUGAGGGAGGUGGUGUAGGGGCAGGUGCGGCACUUAAUUCCGCUUGCAAGGAUAAGUGCCAGGAGGGAGAUCAGUUGGGAGGGACGAAUGGGAAUGAGAGCGAUCCCUGCGGAAAGCAGGAGGGGGGGGGGGGAGAUGUGCUUGGUGGUGGGAUCCUGUUGGAGAUGGCAGAAAUUUUGGAGAAUUAUGUGCUGGAUGCAGAGGCUGACAAGGUGAUAGAUGAGGACCAGAGGAACCCUAUUCCUGGUAGGGUGACACUAGGAUGGGGGCAAGAGCAGGCGUGUGAGAAGUGAUCAAAUGGUGGGGUGGACAGAUGUGACAAAUGAACAACUUCUGUUCCAAUGUUCUUUUGGUGCGUUUUUUCUGGCAUUUUCAGUUUACCUAGGGGCUACUUGCUGGGCUGUGCAAGUAACUUAGCAACUCAAUGCAUAGAAGCAUGCAGACAAGGUCAAGAGACUGGGGUGUCAUUCAGACCAAACAUCAGACCAAUUGAGGGGGGAGGGAAGGGGGGAAUAUAGUGAGAAGCUGGGGAGGGGGGUGUUAGGGGGAUAAGUUACAGGGCUGAAGCUUGACACGGACAUUUGUGGGUUGAAGGGCCUGUUCCUUUGCUGUGUUCUAACAGGGACAGUUACUGUAAUGCUUCAUAGCGCUGGGAAUCGGGGUUCAACUCCGGCCGCUGUCUGUAAUGAGCUUGCUGGUUCUCCCUGUGACCGUGUGGGUUUGCUCUGGACGUUCCCGUCCCCCCACACACACUCCGAAGACGAGCGGGGUAGGGUUGGUGAGUUGGGGGCGUGCUCCGUCCGCGCUGGAAGCGUGGCGACGGGACAUCCCCAGAGCGUUAACACAAACGACGCAUUUCACUGCAAGUUUCGAUGUACCAGCGACAAAGAAAGCCAAAUCAUAUCACACAAUCAUUUUUAUCGCCAGUGUGCAAAACAUAGCAGAAUUGAAUGUGGUUCGAAUGUGAAACACCUGACAAUACCGUAACAGACAACACAACAGCAACCAACAAUUUACAAGACAUCGUGCAAACAGCCAUGAGCAAUCUACAGUUAGUAGAACACGCGCAAUCAAACUAAACGUGACCAUACAAAGAGACCGAAUAACUAUCAACAGAACAAGGAGAACAGGAAAGAGCAUUUAGCGGAUGUUGUACUCGGACCGUUCGGAUACUGGGAAUCUGAAAUCGAAGCAAAAGGUAUCGACAACCCUGAGACGCUCAUUGAGAGACACAAAACUAAUGGCCGGGAAGUGAUCUGCAUCAGCAACUUCCAGCGAAAAUUCAGAUGUCAUGACGAAUCUUCGCAAACUUCUAAGGAAGUAGAGGUGCUGCCAUGCUUUCUUUGUAAUUGCACUUGCCUGCCGGGCCCAAGACAAGUCCUCUGAAAUGAUAACGCUAAGAAAUUUAAAGUUGCUGACCCUCUCCGUCUCUGAUCCUUUGAUGAGGACUGGCUCAUAAACCCUUGGUUUCCUCCUCUUGAAGCCAAUAAUCAGCUUCUUGGUCUUGCUGACUCUGAGGGAGAGGUGGUUGUUAUGACAUCACUCAGCCAGAAUUUCAAUCUCCUUUCCAUAUGCUGAUUUGUCACAGCCCUUGAUUCAGCUGUCAGUAAUGGUGUCAGCAAAAUUAAAUAUAGUGUAAAGGGGGUUUCUUCUUUUUUCUUUGUACUGUGUAUGUAAUCAAAAUGGCUUCUUUGUUUUGUUAAAAGCAGGAAUGCUUCUUUGUUGCGAGAGAGUGCUGGAAGCUUGUUUGGGUUAAAAUUUACUAAUAACGAGAAUUAUAUUCCUUUGUAAACCAAUUGGGAUUAAUGUUGUUCUUUCUUCUGAGUCUGUAAGCUAUUGUUGGCGGGCUUUUGGGCAGAUCGGCAUGACGGGGUGAGAGAGAGAGGACGCGAUGCUGUAAACUGGGUGAGGAACGGACUCCAAGGAGGUACUCCGAGGAGAGGAGAUGAAGCUAGGUGUGCUUGGUUGACCACUCGGAGGGUCCUGAGCUGCGAGUCGAGGAGUUCGGAGGGGAACGAAUGGUGGUCAGAAGACUUAAAUAAUUGAGCUCCAAUGGUUGUGCACGAAGUGGUUUGGACUUUGAUAAGUUUGGUGUCUUUUCUUUAUUUCUUCUUCAUAUAUACUGUAUCAUUAUUAAUCACUUAGUUAUA
Molecule: long non-coding RNA, 2512 nt
Organism: Hypanus sabinus (Atlantic stingray)
Lineage: Eukaryota; Metazoa; Chordata; Chondrichthyes; Myliobatiformes; Dasyatidae
Exons: 3
Source: RefSeq, a predicted model, not a curated record